UCACGCAAUAUUUCGCUAAACAAAUAAGCUUCAUCGGGCGUGUGCAUCUAUCUAGGUGAAAUCGGAUGCAUGACAAAAAAAUAUCUUUGUAGCUUGAGCUACACAAAGUUCGUGUAAAAGUUUAACAUAUUGAUUGAUGGUGUAUAUAAACAUAUUUUUGUCGUUUGUUGUACAUAACAAUUUUUAAAUCUUAACAAAUAGUUGUUUUAGUUAAAUAGAAUGAAAUUCAUGAUUUAUUCUUUGGUUUUUGGGUAGAACUGUUUUUCAUCCCUCUCAUUAAGUCCAUCAGGUUCAAGAGUACGUAGCUGAUGCAUCCAGAACCUUUCUCUCUGUUUUCUUUUUUCGGUGUCCCAAUUUUGGUUUACCUCAAUUAUUUGAAAGGUGAUAUUAUCAAAAGUAUGUCCUGUUCUUAAGAGGUGUCUCGUAAUUGGACAG
RNAcentral lists this long non-coding RNA (435 nucleotides) under Mytilus galloprovincialis (Mediterranean mussel). The record is from RNAcentral. Lineage: Eukaryota; Metazoa; Mollusca; Bivalvia; Mytilida; Mytilidae.